CGCGGUAAUACGGAGGGUGCAAGCGUUAAUCGGAAUUACUGGGCGUAAAGCGCACGCAGGCGGUUUGUUAAGUCAGAUGUGAAAUCCCCGGGCUCAACCUGGGAACUGCAUCUGAUACUGGCAAGCUUGAGUCUCGUAGAGGGGGGUAGAAUUCCAGGUGUAGCGGUGAAAUGCGUAGAGAUCUGGAGGAAUACCGGUGGCGAAGGCGGCCCCCUGGACGAAGACUGACGCUCAGGUGCGAAAGCGUGGGGAGCAAACAGGAUUAGAUACCCUGGUAGUCCACGCCGUAAACGAUGUCGACUUGGAGGUUGUGCCCUUGAGGCGUGGCUUCCGGAGCUAACGCGUUAAGUCGACCGCCUGGGGAGUACGGCCGCAAGGUUAAAACUCAAAUGAAUUGACGGGGGCCCGCACAAGCGGUGGAGCAUGUGGUUUAAUUCGAUGCAACGCGAAGAACC
Molecule: ribosomal RNA, 455 nt
Filed under: Escherichia coli
Lineage: Bacteria; Pseudomonadati; Pseudomonadota; Gammaproteobacteria; Enterobacterales; Enterobacteriaceae
Also listed under: 1 other name
Description: bacterial SSU rRNA
Rfam family: Bacterial small subunit ribosomal RNA
Source: RNAcentral